CCCUAUUAUUUAAGAGCUAAAUAUUGUAAGUAUAUAACAAUUACGAAAGCAAAAAAUUAUGGCGGUAUUUUAAGCUUUUCAGAGGAAUUUGCUCUUUAAUGGAUAAAACACCUAAAUCUUACUUAAAUUUGUUAAAUCAACUUGUAUACCACUAUUAAAACAAUUAUUAACUCUAAUUGUUAAUAUUUAAAACAUAAAUUAAUUUAAAUUAAGUCAAGGUGCAGUAAAAAUUUAAGAAUGAAGUGAAUUACAUUACUUUUAAGGGAAAUAAAAUUAAAUAAAGUUUAGGAUUUGAAAGUAAAAUUAAAAUAGAAUGUUAAUUUGAAUUAAGCUCUAAAAUAUGUACAUAUC
This 351-nucleotide ribosomal RNA is filed under the name Rhipicephalus appendiculatus. RNAcentral describes it as "partial 12S ribosomal RNA". Lineage: Eukaryota; Metazoa; Arthropoda; Arachnida; Ixodida; Ixodidae. The record is from RNAcentral.